CGGAUGUAUUUCGUUUACUGUUC
This 23-nucleotide small nuclear RNA is filed under the name Arabidopsis thaliana (thale cress). Its description in RNAcentral is "snRNA_10617". Lineage: Eukaryota; Viridiplantae; Streptophyta; Magnoliopsida; Brassicales; Brassicaceae. The record is from RNAcentral.